This 402-nucleotide ribosomal RNA is filed under the name uncultured bacterium. Its description in RNAcentral is "bacterial SSU rRNA". It matches the Rfam family "Bacterial small subunit ribosomal RNA", at positions 355 to 774 of the family's 1533-position model. The record is from RNAcentral.
UGGGGAAUAUUGGACAAUGGGGGAAACCCUGAUCCAGCAAUGCCGCGUGAGUGAAGAAGGCCUUAGGGUUGUAAAGCUCUUUCGCCCGCGAAGAUAAUGACGGUAGCGGGAGAAGAAGCCCCGGCUAACUCCGUGCCAGCAGCCGCGGUAAUACGGAGGGGGCUAGCGUUGUUCGGAAUUACUGGGCGUAAAGCGUACGUAGGCGGAUGCGCGAGUUGGGGGUGAAAUCCCGGGGCUUAACCUCGGAAUUGCCCUCAAAACUGCACGUCUUGAGACCGAGAGAGNUAAGGGGAAUUCCUAGUGUAGAGGUGAAAUUCGUAGAUAUUAGGAAGAACACCAGUGGCGAAGGCGCCUUACUGGCUCGGUACUGACGCUGAGGUACGAAAGCGUGGGGAGCAAACA